Molecule: long non-coding RNA, 270 nt
Organism: Stylophora pistillata
Lineage: Eukaryota; Metazoa; Cnidaria; Anthozoa; Scleractinia; Pocilloporidae
Source: RefSeq, a predicted model, not a curated record
AUAGCUUACGUACAGUCUUUGGCUUGCAGUCCACGAAGAACAAACAUCAAACUUGUUCCUGUUUACACACCGUUGCCUGUAUUAAGCGAUUCAGAGAUCAGGAUGAACCCAAGACUUGUAUUAAUGCUGUUGGCCUUGGUUGUUAUGGCCACGUCAAUGACGAUCAGAAAUGAUAAGGAAGAGAACCAUGACGAUGUGAUGAAGCGCGGCUGCUCUCCUCGCUGUGUUAAGUGCCAGGGGAGGUUUGGUCUAACUCACAAUUCUUGCUGC